AACGAACGCUGGCGGCAUGCCUAACACAUGCAAGUCGAACGAAGCCUUCGGGCUUAGUGGCGCACGGGUGCGUAACGCGUGGGAAUCUGCCCUUGGGUUCGGAAUAACAGUUAGAAAUGACUGCUAAUACCGAAUGAUGUCUUCGGACCAAAGAUUUAUCGCCCAAGGAUGAGCCCGCGUCGGAUUAGCUAGUUGGUGAGGUAAAGGCUCACCAAGGCGACGAUCCGUAGCUGGUCUGAGGAGGAUGAUCAGCCACACUGGGACUGAGACACGGCCCAGACUCCUACGGGAGGCAGCAGGU
Molecule: ribosomal RNA, 301 nt
Filed under: uncultured bacterium
Lineage: Bacteria
Description: bacterial SSU rRNA
Rfam family: Bacterial small subunit ribosomal RNA
Source: RNAcentral